RNAcentral lists this ribosomal RNA (704 nucleotides) under unidentified microorganism. RNAcentral describes it as "bacterial SSU rRNA". It matches the Rfam family "Bacterial small subunit ribosomal RNA", at positions 53 to 804 of the family's 1533-position model. The record is from RNAcentral.
ACAUGCAGUCGAACGGACCCUUCGGGGUUAGUGGCGGACGGGUGAGUAACACGUGGGAACGUGCCUUUAGGUUCGGAAUAGCUCCUGGAAACGGGUGGUAAUGCCGAAUGUGCCCUUCGGGGGAAAGAUUUAUCGCCUUUAGAGCGGCCCGCGUCUGAUUAGCUAGUUGGUGGGGUAAUGGCCCACCAAGGCUACGAUCAGUAGCUGGUCUGAGAGGAUGACCAGCCACAUUGGGACUGAGACACGGCCCAAACUCCUACGGGAGGCAGCAGUGGGGAAUCUUGCGCAAUGGGCGAAAGCCUGACGCAGCCAUGCCGCGUGUAUGAUGAAGGUCUUAGGAUUGUAAAAUACUUUCACCGGUGAAGAUAAUGACUGUAGCCGGAGAAGAAGCCCCGGCUAACUUCGUGCCAGCAGCCGCGGUAAUACGAAGGGGGCUAGCGUUGCUCGGAAUUACUGGGCGUAAAGGGAGCGUAGGCGGACAUUUAAGUCAGAGGUGAAAUCCCGGAGCUUAACUUCGGAACUGCCUUUGAUACUGGGUGUCUUGAGUGUGAGAGAGGUAUGUGGAACUCCGAGUGUAGAGGUGAAAUUCGUAGAUAUUCGGAAGAACACCAGUGGCGAAGGCGACAUACUGGCUCAUUACUGACGCUGAGGCUCGAAAGCGUGGGGAGCAAACAGGAUUAGAUACCCUGGUAGUCCACGCCGUA